Molecule: ribosomal RNA, 468 nt
Filed under: uncultured bacterium
Lineage: Bacteria
Description: partial 16S ribosomal RNA
Rfam family: Bacterial small subunit ribosomal RNA
Source: RNAcentral
GACGAACGCUGGCGGCGUGCUUAACACAUGCAAGUCGAACGGAAAGGCCCUGCUUUUGUGGGGUGCUCGAGUGGCGAACGGGUGAGUAACACGUGAGUAACCUGCCCUUGACUUUGGGAUAACUUCAGGAAACUGGGGCUAAUACCGGAUAGGAGCUCCUGCUGCAUGGUGGGGGUUGGAAAGUUUCGGCGGUUGGGGAUGGACUCGCGGCUUAUCAGCUUGUUGGUGGGGUAGUGGCUUACCAAGGCUUUGACGGGUAGCCGGCCUGAGAGGGUGACCGGCCACAAUGGGACUGAGAUACGGCCCAGACGCCUACGGGAGGCAGCAGUGGGGAAUAUUGCACAAUGGGCGGAAGCCUGAUGCAGCAACGCCGCGUGCGGGAUGACGGCCUUCGGGUUGGAAACCGCUUUCGCCUGUGACGAAGCGUGAGUGACGGUAAUGGGUAAAGAAGCACCGGCUAACUACGUG